This 252-nucleotide ribosomal RNA is filed under the name uncultured bacterium. RNAcentral's name for it is "partial 16S ribosomal RNA". It matches the Rfam family "Bacterial small subunit ribosomal RNA", at positions 100 to 354 of the family's 1533-position model. The record is from RNAcentral.
CGGGGUGAGUAACGCGUGGAGAACCUGCCGUAUACUGGGGGAUAACACUUAGAAAUAGGUGCUAAUACCGCAUAAGCGCACAGAGCCGCAUGGCUCAGUGUGAAAAACUCCGGUGGUGUAAGAUGGAUCCGCGUCUGAUUAGCUGGUUGGCGGGGUAGAAGCCCACCAAGGCGACGAUCAGUAGCCGGCCUGAGAGGGUGAACGGCCACAUUGGGACUGAGACACGGCCCAAACUCCUACGGGAGGCAGCAG